AGUGGAUGGGGAGCAACCUAGUUGUGCGUGUGUAAAGGUAGUGCCAAGAAAGGCGAUGAUCAUGUUGAAAAUCAAUUCCCGGUACCCGAAACCGACACAGGUGGGCAAGUAGAGAAUACUAAGGGGCGCGAGGUAACUCUCUCCAAGGAACUCGGCAAAAUGACCCCGUAACUUAGGGAGAAGGGGUGCCACCGAGAGGUGGUCGCAGUGAAGAGGCCCAGGCGACUGUUUAGCAAAAACAUAGGUCUCUGCAAACUCGAAAGAGGAGGUAUAGGGGCUGACGCCUGCCCAGUGCCGGAAGGUUAAAGAAGUUGGUCAGUUUUAGGAUGAAGCUAGCGACUGAAGCCCCGGUGAACGGCGGCCGUAACUAUAACGGUCCUAAGGUAGCGAAAUUCCUUGUCGGGUAAGUUCCGACCCGCACGAAAGGCGUAACGAUCUGGGCGCUGUCUCGGAGAGAGGCUCGGCGAAAUAGGAUUGUCUGUGAAGAUACGGACUACCUGCAUUUGGACAGAAAGACCCUAUGAAGCUUUACUAUAGCUUGGGAUUGUGUUCGGGCUUCCUGUGCGCAGGAUAGGUGGGAGGCGAAGAAGGUAUUCUUGUGGGGAUACUGGAGCCAACGGUGAGAUACCACUCUCAGGAGGCUAGAAUUCUAACUUAAUUAAGGACAGUUUCAGGUGGGUAGUUUGACUGGGGCGGUCGCCUCCAAAAAGGUAACGGAGGCGUACAAAGGUUCCCUCAGACUGGUUGGAAAUCAGUCGCAGAGUGCAAAGGCAGAAGGGAGCUUGACUGCGAGAAGUACAGUUCGAGCAGGGUGGAAACACGGUCUUAGUGAUCCGACGGUGCUGUGUGGAAGGGCCGUCGCUCAACGGAUAAAAGUUACUCUAGGAUAACAGGCUGAUCUCCCCCAAGAGUUCACAUCGACGGGGAGGUUUGGCACCUCGAUGUCGGCUCAUCGCAACCUGGGGCGGAAGUACGUCCCAAGGGUUGGGCUGUUCGCCCAUUAAAGCGGUACGUGAGCUGGGUUCAGAACGUCGUGAGACAGUUCGGUCCAUAUCCGAUGUAGGCGUGAGAAUAUUGAGAGGAGCCUUCCUUAGUACGAGAGGACCGGGAAGGACGCACCGCUGGUGUACCUGUUAUGAUGCCAAUUGUAAACGCAGGGUAGCCAAGUGCGGAGAGGAUAACCGCUGAAAGCAUCUAAGUGGGAUGCCCACCUUGAGAUGAGUAUUCUGGUGUAAGGUCACGGGAAGACGACCCGUAAAUAGGCACGAGGUGGAAGUGCAGAGAUGUAUGAAGCCGAAGUGUACUAAUAGACCGUCGGCUUGAUC
This 1325-nucleotide ribosomal RNA is filed under the name metagenome. RNAcentral describes it as "bacterial LSU rRNA". It matches the Rfam family "Bacterial large subunit ribosomal RNA", at positions 1561 to 2925 of the family's 2925-position model. The record is from RNAcentral.